UACGGAGGGUGCGAGCGUUAAUCGGAAUUACUGGGCGUAAAGCGUGCGUAGGUGGUUGAAUAAGUUAUGUGUGAAAUCCCUGGGCUCAACCUGGGCAGGUCAUAUAAUACUGUUUGACUCGAGUAUGGGAGAGGGUAGUGGAAUUUCCGGUGUAGCGGUGAAAUGCGUAGAGAUCGGAAGGAACACCAGUGGCGAAGGCGGCUACCUGGCCUAAUACUGACACUGAGGCACGAAAGCGUGGGGAGCAAACAGG
This 253-nucleotide ribosomal RNA is filed under the name uncultured bacterium. RNAcentral's name for it is "partial 16S ribosomal RNA". It matches the Rfam family "Bacterial small subunit ribosomal RNA", at positions 524 to 776 of the family's 1533-position model. The record is from RNAcentral.